GCAAGGUUAACGGCAUGCUUACCAUGCAAGUCGAACGAUGAUGCCCAGCUUGCUGGGCGGAUUAGUGGCGAACGGGUGAGUAAUACGUGAGUAACCUGCCCUUGACUCUGGGAUAAGCCUGGGAAACUGGGUCUAAUACUGGAUACUACCUCUUGCCGCAUGGUGGGUGGUGGAAAGGGUUUUACUGGUUUUGGAUGGGCUCACGGCCUAUCAGCUUGUUGGUGGGGUAAUGGCUCACCAAGGCGACGACGGGUAGCCGGCCUGAGAGGGUGACCGGCCACACUGGGACUGAGACACGGCCCAGACUCCUACGGGAGGCAGCAGUGGGGAAUAUUGCACAAUGGGCGGAAGCCUGAUGCAGCGACGCCGCGUGAGGGAUGACGGCCUUCGGGUUGUAAACCUCUUUCAGUAGGGAAGAAGCGAGAGUGACGGUACCUGCAGAAGAAGCGCCGGCUAACUACGUGCCAGCAGCCGCGGUAAUACGUAGGGCGCAAGCGUUGUCCGGAAUUAUUGGGCGUAAAGAGCUCGUAGGCGGUUUGUCGCGUCUGCUGUGAAAGCCCGGGGCUCAACCCCGGGUCUGCAGUGGGUACGGGCAGACUAGAGUGCAGUAGGGGAGACUGGAAUUCCUGGUGUAGCGGUGAAAUGCGCAGAUAUCAGGAGGAACACCGAUGGCGAAGGCAGGUCUCUGGGCUGUUACUGACGCUGAGGAGCGAAAGCAUGGGGAGCGAACAGGAUUAGAUACCCUGGUAGUCCAUGCCGUAAACGUUGGGCACUAGGUGUGGGGGACAUUCCACGUUUUCCGCGCCGUAGCUAACGCAUUAAGUGCCCCGCCUGGGGAGUACGGCCGCAAGGCUAAAACUCAAAGGAAUUGACGGGGGCCCGCACAAGCGGCGGAGCAUGCGGAUUAAUUCGAUGCAACGCGAAGAACCUUACCAAGGCUUGACAUUCACCGGACCGCCCCAGAGAUGGGGUUUCCCUUCGGGGCUGGUGGACAGGUGGUGCAUGGUUGUCGUCAGCUCGUGUCGUGAGAUGUUGGGUUAAGUCCCGCAACGAGCGCAACCCUCGUUCUAUGUUGCCAGCACGUGAUGGUGGGGACUCAUAGGAGACUGCCGGGGUCAACUCGGAGGAAGGUGGGGAUGACGUCAAAUCAUCAUGCCCCUUAUGUCUUGGGCUUCACGCAUGCUACAAUGGCCGGUACAAAGGGUUGCGAUACUGUGAGGUGGAGCUAAUCCCAAAAAGCCGGUCUCAGUUCGGAUUGAGGUCUGCAACUCGACCUCAUGAAGUCGGAGUCGCUAGUAAUCGCAGAUCAGCAACGCUGCGGUGAAUACGUUCCCGGGCCUUGUACACACCGCCCGUCAAGUCACGAAAGUUGGUAACACCCGAAGCCGGUGGCCUAACCCCUUGUGGGAGGGAGCCGUCUAAGAGUGGAUCGGGCUAAUG
Molecule: ribosomal RNA, 1440 nt
Filed under: Kocuria sp.
Lineage: Bacteria; Bacillati; Actinomycetota; Actinomycetes; Micrococcales; Micrococcaceae
Also listed under: 1 other name
Description: bacterial SSU rRNA
Rfam family: Bacterial small subunit ribosomal RNA
Source: RNAcentral